This is a long non-coding RNA of Gorilla gorilla gorilla (western lowland gorilla), 806 nucleotides long. RefSeq lists it as uncharacterized. The transcript has 3 exons. Lineage: Eukaryota; Metazoa; Chordata; Mammalia; Primates; Hominidae. The record is from RefSeq and is a predicted model, not a curated record.
CUGAGACAAGAAGAUUGAGCUCUCUGAGACUCCCUUUCAGGACUACCACUUGCCAAUGCGGUACUUUGGUGCAAUUUGAAAGAGGUGCCCCAUCUAGGCACAUGCCUUGGAUGAAGAGCCCAGUGGAAGAAUUUCGCUGUAAACCAAUGCUGCUGGGAAGGAGAUUUCCAUCCCCAGGGAAACCUAAGUUUUUAGGAAUCUGAUCAUGAAGACAGGCAGGCUCCGAGGGCCCAGCACAGCCUGCCCGUCUUGCAGCAUGAUUCUGCCUGGGAGUCAGGGAACCCACACUGGCUGAUGGAGGACUGGGAGAGCUGCGGGUAGCCUGAGGGGCGGGCAGAGAGAUCCGGAGCCAAGAACUGACUAGAUCAACCAGUAAAUAAAAGGUCACAAUGAUUUUUCCAGGCACCCAGGGAGAAGCAGACAAGAGAGCCCAGCUGACGGCAGGAGCUGACAACUGGCAAAUGAGCCUCCACAGUUAUCUGUUUUCCUUCCUUAUUCUUGUCUCAUAAGACAGAGGCUAGAAAUAGAUGCAACUGGCAGAUGACUUAAGGAUGAAAAAUGGGCAACGUGUUAGUUGUGGGGGACUCCAUGGUAGUGAAAGAGGGAGAUUACCUUGGAGGCAGGGAGAAAACACAGGGCUUAGCUAGAGCCAUAGCCGAGGGUUUGGCUCUCACACUGUCCCAGGCAUUGUAUAGGGAUUUCACCUUCUCAGCAGUCCUAUCAGGUAGGUAUUAUUGUUAUCCCCACUUUACAGAAGACAAGACCAAGGCUUAGAGAGGAUACGCUAGGCCAUAUCAAAGAGUGAU